RNAcentral lists this transfer RNA (71 nucleotides) under Ailuronyx tachyscopaeus. Its description in RNAcentral is "tRNA-Trp". Lineage: Eukaryota; Metazoa; Chordata; Lepidosauria; Squamata; Gekkonidae. The record is from RNAcentral.
AGAAAUUUAGGUUAACCUGAAACCAAGGGCCUUCAAAGCCCUUAAUAUGAGCAAUCACCUCUUAAUUUCUG